CGGGGGAGGCCGGAUCCUGUGCUGUGUCCCGGCGCCCUGUGCUCCGGGGCCUGCGCUGUUGGAUUCGCGCUCCCGGGCCGCGCAACCCCCU
Non-coding RNA from Canis lupus familiaris (dog), 91 nucleotides. The record is from Rfam. Lineage: Eukaryota; Metazoa; Chordata; Mammalia; Carnivora; Canidae.